GGGCUAGGCUGCGGCGAGCUGCUUCGGGUAGACAAGAAUAGGUAAGCAGGGCAGGUCGGUAUCGCGAGCGGCGAGGCCUCUCGAAGAAGGUGCAGCAGAGCGGGUUCCGACAGCCACGGCAGCACCUGAUCCACGAGCGGAGGAAGGGGAGGAGGUAGGACGGGAGGCUCGAGAAUACGAGGGAGGCGGCGAGGAAGGGGUUCCGUGUACUGCUGCCAGUGCCGGUAGACGAGGGGGCGGGGCCGAGGGGGUUCCUGGGGGGGACACUCGCGACGAGCACUCCCGGAAGGGUGGCGAUCGAGGAGGUGGCGACGACGAUGCUCGAACGAGAUCGGCCCUCGAACGAGAUCGGCCCUCUCCUGUCCUCCUCCUUCGCGCCCACCUCCUAGAACAGGUCAGACCUCGUUCUUUUUCUUCUUCUAACGAUCCUUACCUCAAGAAGGCACACGGCGAUAAAAACGAGAAACGAGUCACGUAAGUACAACUCAGAUUGUUCUGCUCGUGUUCAACCUCACAACGGCAACGAAACCAGUGCCACAGUGAUUUCAAAACAACCGAACAUUAUAUCAGAUCAAUGUGUAUGUAACUAUAAAUCAACCGUCUUUUUGAUCAACGUGUGUAUAUACGAGUCAAACCGAACAUUAAAUCAGAUCAAUGUGUAUAUAAUUACAAUUUAACCGUCCUGUGAUGAACGUGUGUGUAUACGCGUUAAACUGCGCCGUUACAUCAGAUCAACGUGUGUGUAACUAUAAAUAAACCGUCCUGAUCAAUGUGUAUAUACGAGUUAACCGAGCCGUUAUAACAGAUCAACGUGUGUAUAACUACAAAUCAACCCUCCUGAUAAGCUUGUGGGUAUACGAGUCAACCGC
Molecule: ribosomal RNA, 869 nt
Filed under: Triticum aestivum (bread wheat)
Lineage: Eukaryota; Viridiplantae; Streptophyta; Magnoliopsida; Poales; Poaceae
Description: partial small subunit ribosomal RNA
Source: RNAcentral